This 403-nucleotide ribosomal RNA is filed under the name uncultured bacterium. RNAcentral's name for it is "partial 16S ribosomal RNA". It matches the Rfam family "Bacterial small subunit ribosomal RNA", at positions 28 to 526 of the family's 1533-position model. The record is from RNAcentral.
GACGAACGCUGGCGGCGUGCUUAACACAUGCAAGUCGAACGCAGUGGGGACGGGUGAGUAACACGUGGGUAACCUCCCAUCAGAGGGGAUAACACUUGGAAACAGGUGCUAAACCGAUACUGAUGUAUGAACCCGCGGUGCAUUAGCUAGUUGGUGAGGUAACGGCUAACCAAGGCCACGAGGCAUAGGCGGUCUGAGAGGGUGAUCGGCCACACUGGGACUGAGACACGGCCCAGACUCCUACGGGAGGCAGCAGUGGGGAAUAUUCGGCAAUGGGCGAAAGUCUGACCGAGCAACGCCGCGUGAAUGAAGAAGGUUUUCGGAUCGUAAAGCUCUGUUAUUAGGGAAGCGGUAUCUAACGAGGAAGCAACGGCUAACUACGUGCCAGCAGCCGCGGUAAUAC